AUGGAGGGAAUAAUUUGGGAUGGAAGGAAUGGUUUGGGAUGGAGGGAGCUCAGAGCUCAUCCAUGGCAGGGACACCUCCCACUGUCCCAGGCUGCUCCAAGCCCUGUCCAGCCUGGCCUGGGACACCUGAGGUGUCCAGGGGAAUGUGGGAAAGCCUGGAGGGAAGUGCAGGGAGCUGGGGAGGUGCUGGCAGCAGCACCCAGCCCUUCCCGGGGUGCAGCACUGCUGGAUUCAGCAUUCCCAGGGGGUGCAGCAUUCCAGGAUUCAGCAUUCCCAGGGGUGCAGCAUUCCCAGGGGGUGCAGCAUCCCCCAGCAGCUCAGUCCCUCUGUUCCCCUGUUCCCCACAGCACGAUCGCCCGUGUUCAGCGCCAUGUUCGAGCACGAGAUGGAGGAGAGCAAAAAGGUGAGGCCUGGGGCAUGGUCCUGCUCAGGAGAUCCCCUCUGGCACCUGGAACUGCUCCUCUCCCUGAAGGGAGCAGGAAAAGAGGGAUUUGGGAUCCAUUGUCCCUUUGUUCCCUUGGGGGGGCACAGGGGGAAUGUGGGAUACAGUUUAGAGUUAUUCCAUCCACAUAUUUUUUUUCCUCCCCUUCUUUUCCCUCUCUUUUCCUCCAUUUUCCCUUCCUUUCCCUCCUCUUUUUCCCCUUCCCCCUUUUUUUUCCUUUCCUUUCCUUUCCUUUCCUUUCCUUUCCUUUCCUUUCCUUUCCUUUCCUUUCCUUUCCUUUCCUUUCCUUUCCUUUCCUUUCCUUUCCUUUCCUUUCCUUUCCUUUCCUUUCCUUUCCUUUCCUUUCCUUUCCUUUCCUUUCCUUUCCUUUCCUUUCCUUUCCUUUCCUUUCCUUUCCUUUCCUUUCCUUUCCUUUCCUUUCCUUUCCUUUCCUUUCCUUUCCUUUCCUUUCCUUUCCUUUCCUUUCCUUUCCUUUCCUUUCCUUUCCUUUCCUUUCCUUUCCUUUCCUUUCCUUUCCUUUCCUUUCCUUUCCUUUCCUUUCCUUUCCUUUCCUUUCCUUUCCUUUCCUUUCCUUUCCUUUCCUUUCCUUUCCUUUCCUUUCCUUUCCUUUCCUUUCCUUUCCUUUCCUUUCCUUUCCUUUCCUUUCCUUUCCUUUCCUUUCCUUUCCUUUCCUUUCCUUUCCUUUCCUUUCCUUUCCUUUCCUUUCCUUUCCUUUCCUUUCCUUUCCUUUCCUUUCCUUUCCUUUCCUUUCCUUUCCUUUCCUUUCCUUUCCUUUCCUUUCCUUUCCUUUCCUUUCCUUUCCUUUCCUUUCCUUUCCUUUCCUUUCCUUUCCUUUCCUUUCCUUUCCUUUCCUUUCCUUUCCUUUCCUUUCCUUUCCUUUCCUUUCCUUUCCUUUCCUUUCCUUUCCUUUCCUUUCCUUUCCUUUCCUUUCCUUUCCUUUCCUUUCCUUUCCUUUCCUUUCCUUUCCUUUCCUUUCCUUUCCUUUCCUUUCCUUUCCUUUCCUUUCCUUUCCUUUCCUUUCCUUUCCUUUCCUUUCCUUUCCUUUCCUUUCCUUUCCUUUCCUUUCCUUUCCUUUCCUUUCCUUUCCUUUCCUUUCCUUUCCUUUCCUUUCCUUUCCUUUCCUUUCCUUUCCUUUCCUUUCCUUUCCUUUCCUUUCCUUUCCUUUCCUUUCCUUUCCUUUCCUUUCCUUUCCUUUCCUUUCCUUUCCUUUCCUUUCCUUUCCUUUCCUUUCCUUUCCUUUCCUUUCCUUUCCUUUCCUUGCAGGAUUUUGGGGUGGGGGGAGCCCUGGAUCCUCUUGA
This 1740-nucleotide long non-coding RNA is filed under the name Ficedula albicollis (Collared flycatcher). RNAcentral's name for it is "lncRNA (ENSFALG00000028816.1)". Lineage: Eukaryota; Metazoa; Chordata; Aves; Passeriformes; Muscicapidae. The record is from RNAcentral.